This 70-nucleotide transfer RNA is filed under the name Trichiurus lepturus (Atlantic cutlassfish). Its description in RNAcentral is "tRNA-His". It matches the Rfam family "tRNA". Rfam says of the family: Transfer RNA (tRNA) molecules are approximately 80 nucleotides in length. The record is from RNAcentral. Lineage: Eukaryota; Metazoa; Chordata; Actinopteri; Scombriformes; Trichiuridae.
GUAGAUAUAGUUUAAUCUAAAACGUUAGGAUGUGGACCUAAAAAGGGGGGUUAAAGUCCCCUUAUUUACC